This 494-nucleotide ribosomal RNA is filed under the name uncultured bacterium. RNAcentral describes it as "partial 16S ribosomal RNA". It matches the Rfam family "Bacterial small subunit ribosomal RNA", at positions 28 to 507 of the family's 1533-position model. The record is from RNAcentral.
GACGAACGCUGGCGGCGUGCUUAGCACAUGCAAGUCGAACGGUGAAGCGCCUUCCUUUUUGGUGGGUGUGGAUGAGUGGCGAACGGGUGAGUAACACGUGAGUAACCUGCCCCCUUCUUCUGGAUAACCGCAUGAAAGUGUGGCUAAUACGGGAUAUUCUGGGUCUGUCGCAUGAUGGGUCUGGGAAAGAUAUUGUUUCGGUGGGGGAUGGGCUCGCGGCCUAUCAGCUUGUUGGUGGGGUGAUGGCCUACCAAGGCGGUGACGGGUAGCCGGCCUGGGAGGGUGGACGGUCACACUGGGACUGAGACACGGCCCAGACUCCUACGGGAGGCAGCAGUGGGGAAUAUUGCACAAUGGGCGCAAGCCUGAUGCAGCGACGCCGCGUGAGGGAUGGAGGCCUGCGGGUUGUGAACCUCUUUCGCCAGUGAAGCAGGCCUGCCUCGUUUGUGGGUGGGUUGACGGUAGCUGGAUAAGAAGCGCCGGCUAACUACGUG